RNAcentral lists this ribosomal RNA (478 nucleotides) under uncultured bacterium. RNAcentral's name for it is "partial 16S ribosomal RNA". It matches the Rfam family "Bacterial small subunit ribosomal RNA", at positions 28 to 506 of the family's 1533-position model. The record is from RNAcentral.
GAUGAACGCUAGCGGGAGGCUUAACACAUGCAAGCCGAGGGGUAUAGUUCUUUCGUGAUCUAGAGACCGGCGCACGGGUGCGUAACGCGUAUGCAACUUUCCCUACUGAAAAGGAUAGCCCUUCGAAAGGAGGAUUAAUACUUUAUAACAGAUUUAAUGGCAUCAUUAGAUUUUGAAAGAUUUAUCGCAGUAUGAUAGGCAUGCGUAGGUUUAGUUAGUUGGUUAGGUAACGGCUCACCAAGACGAUGAUCUUUAGGGGGCCUGAGAGGGUGAACCCCCAAACUGGUACAGAGACAAGGAGAAGACUCGUACGGGAGGAAGCAGAGAGGAAGAAUGGACAAUGGGUGGAAGACUGAACCAGCCAGCCAGAGUGUAGGAUGACGGCAUUAUGGGUUGUAAACUACUUUUAUAAGGGGAUAAACCUAAUUACGUGUAAGUAGCUGAAGGAACCAGAAGAAUAAGCACCGGCUAACUCCGU